Long non-coding RNA from Hydractinia symbiolongicarpus, 1581 nucleotides. RefSeq lists it as uncharacterized. NCBI's taxonomy places the organism in Eukaryota, Metazoa, Cnidaria, Hydrozoa, Anthoathecata, Hydractiniidae. The transcript is spliced from 3 exons. The record is from RefSeq and is a predicted model, not a curated record.
GAGCGCUCGUACUUGGCUUGGCCAGAAUCUGUCCAUGUGAAAUUCCUGAAAAUGUUUGAAAAAUACAUCAGAAGAGAAUCGCAAAAUCCAAUGCCCUCCCGUGAAGAGAUGAAUUUUUUUCUGGAAGAAAAUAGUCUUGACAUUCCCUGGCAAAAAGUUCGAACAAAGAUUAAUAACGAACGAGCAAAGCGUGACAGAAUCAAGAAGAGUAACCUAGAAAAGAUACUUAAAACCUCAUAGAUUUUCUUUUAUAUCUUUAUUAUAUGAACGUCAUCCCUUGGAAAUAAAAAGUAGCAAAAAAAUUUGAAACCGGUUUUUCAAAUUUAUUCUUUAUUUUAUGUUAUAUAUUUGUAGGACCAUCCCGUUCAUUAUCUAUAUUCAUUGAUACGAGUAUUUUGUUCAUUUCCAUGAUGUUUUGUAACAUAAAAUUUCACUAAAGUGUAAUAAAGUGGAAAAAACAUAUUGCUUUGUCGCUAUUGAUGCCCCCGAAAUCUCGUCUUUCAAAGGAUCCAAGCUAAAAAAAAAUAUGUGGUAGGUAAAACAGCAUUUUGUGCUAUUUUUGUUUUAAAAACUUUUCAUGUUUAUUAAUAUACAUAAGAAAAACUUUUUAAGGCUUAGACCCACCAAGGGAGUUUUUUAAGUAAAGAAAGAAUAUAAAAGUUUUAGAUAUCCAGGGGGUAAAAACAUAUUCAUUAUAAACUCUUUAGCAAAUAUGCUCACCUGAUCUAACUAGAUACUUGUGUUUCAAAAAUGCUAUAAGUAACAAACCAUUUUGUUGUUUUCAGUACUUUUUUCAAAAGUGUAAUUAACAAUUAAGGGAAAACUUACAAUUUUUACCUUAAAAGCUGAGAAAAUAUAUUGACAACAAUAAAAUCAUGAAAAUUAUUUAUCACUGCUUCCACCGUAUUUAACGUUUACCACUUUGACUUUCAACUCUUAUGGUAUAACGAAUUUAGUCCAUUGUGCAUUUUUGAUACUUCUGUUAUUGUUGUUCAUUCAAUCACCUACUUUUUUUCAACUUUCAACAUCUCGGUGAGCCAGUGAAGAAAGCUCCUUGUACAAAAUUUGUGCCAGGCAUGAGAAGCCACGGCAGUAAUUUUCUUUCCAUUUUCUUCCAUUUGUGGAAAUACAUACAUACAUAUUUUUUACAAAAAAACGGGAAUUGAUUUUUCACUAGGUUAUUAUUUUUAGCGACGUAAACUUCAUCUACUUCCGUAGUUUGUGAGCGGCUGAUCUGCAUUUGUCCACGGAAUUUCCUUUUUCGAAUUUUGUUUUGAUCAGCUGCUUAAAUGCAAGAUUGCGUUCUCGAGAAAUAGACUGAUUUCGAAUCAAAACUAUGUACCUCAGAACACCAUUGGUUUACAGCUGUAGUUAAUCACGAUGAAAAAAACUGUUGUAGAAACAGCUCUAUGACAUAUGGUGUGCAAACGUUACAUACAUUAACCUUGUCGCUCACGCAGGGCACAUGAUUCAUAGCUACUUUCGAAAAAUAGGUGCACGUAUCUUGUGAGGUGUUAAAAUACUGGCUAGGCUCUUCAAGUUACUUUGUUCAUUCGUGGGCAGACCAUACGUGGUCUAGUA